AACGAACGCUGGAGGCAUGCCUAACACAUGCAAGUCGAACGAGAUCUUCGGGUCUAGUGGCGCACGGGUGCGUAACGCGUGGGAAUCUGCCCUUUGGUUCGGAAUAACAGUUGGAAACGACUGCUAUACCGGAUGAUGACGAAAGUCCAAAGAUUUAUCGCCAGAGGAUGAGCCCGCGUAGGAUUAGCUAGUUGGUGUGGUAAAGGCGCACCAAGGCGACGAUCCUUAGCUGGUCUGAGAGGAUGAUCAGCCACACUGGGACUGAGAACACGGCCCAGACUCCUACGGGAGGCAGCAGUGGGGAAUAUUGGACAAUGGGCGAAAGCCUGAUCCAGCAAUGCCGCGUGAGUGAUGAAGGCCUUAGGGUUGUAAAGCUCUUUUACCCGGGAUGAUAAUGACAGUACCGGGAGAAUAAGCUCCGGCUAACUCCGUGCCAGCCGCCGCCGUAA
This 449-nucleotide ribosomal RNA is filed under the name uncultured bacterium. Its description in RNAcentral is "partial 16S ribosomal RNA". It matches the Rfam family "Bacterial small subunit ribosomal RNA", at positions 29 to 523 of the family's 1533-position model. The record is from RNAcentral.